GGGUUUAGUAUCAAGUAGAUAUCUGCCUACAAGGUAAGGCCACUAAUUGAGGAUAUCAUAAGUUCAUUAAUCAUUAACGUCUUGGGUUUAGCCUUAUUUUUCUUCAAGACAGAGAAAAAAUUUAUGCAAUGAUCUUACCAAAAGUUAAUCUAAUUAACAAGCGUCAAUGUUCAAAGAGUUCCUAUUUCCAUAUGAUUUAAAGAGGAUUAUGAAAGGAAUACACAUAAAAUAAAGGUUACAAAUUUUUGGCCCUUUUAAUAUAGCCAACUAAGAGGACAGCACAUUACCAUUCAAUAAGCUUCUCAA
This is a long non-coding RNA of Lycium ferocissimum, 306 nucleotides long. RefSeq lists it as uncharacterized. The transcript is spliced from 3 exons. The record is from RefSeq and is a predicted model, not a curated record. NCBI's taxonomy places the organism in Eukaryota, Viridiplantae, Streptophyta, Magnoliopsida, Solanales, Solanaceae.